This is a non-coding RNA of Pelobates cultripes (western spadefoot toad), 389 nucleotides long. NCBI's taxonomy places the organism in Eukaryota, Metazoa, Chordata, Amphibia, Anura, Pelobatidae. The record is from the annotation of a GenBank genome assembly.
CUUCCACAAAAGUAAAUCCAUAAUGGCUGCUCUAUGGACUGUUGAUUAAUGCACUGUGCCCCCACAACAAUUUAAAGAUCAGGAUUGGCUGAAAAAAUCUGAAGCAAUUACUGUUUACUAAAGAAACUGCAGAUUUCGAUCUUAAAGGGACACUAUAGGCACCAAAACAACGUUAAUUUAAUUAAGCAGUUUUGGUGUAUUGACCAUUCCCCUGCAGUCUCAGUACACAAUUAUCUGCCAUUUAGGGAUAAAUCAGAUGGUUUAUUCAGCCCGAGUCACACCUCCCUGCAUGUGACUAACACAGCCUUCCUAAACACUUCCUGAAAAUGAACCUAGAUAUUUUAAGUUCCUGUAUUGCACAAAAAUUAAAUAAACAAGGUGAUUUGUGC